This 86-nucleotide transfer RNA is filed under the name Streptomyces phage JustBecause. RNAcentral's name for it is "tRNA-OTHER". It matches the Rfam family "tRNA". From Rfam's summary of the family: Transfer RNA (tRNA) molecules are approximately 80 nucleotides in length. The record is from RNAcentral. Lineage: Duplodnaviria; Heunggongvirae; Uroviricota; Caudoviricetes.
GUCCACGUAGUGCAGCGGCCGAGCACGCCCCUCUACUGGGUCAAGCCAGCGAGGGGAGACGCGGGUUCGAAUCCCGUCGUGGACUC